CGCAUCUGUGCAUGCAGCAUAUCAAUAAGCGGAGGAAAAGAAACUAACAAGGAUUCCCCUAGUAACGGCGAGUGAAGCGGGAAGAGCUCAAAUUUGAAAUCUUAAAGGGUUUCCCUUUACGAAUUGUAGUUUAAAGAAGUGUUUUCUGUUGAGGUUUUGGUAAAAGUUCUUUGGAAUAGGACAUCAUAGAGGGUGAGAAUCCCGUAUUUGACCUUUACUUUCAACUUUGUGAUACACUUUCAAAGAGUCGGAUUGUUUGGGAAUGCAGUCCAAAAUGGGUGGUAAAUUUCAUCUAAAGCUAAAUAUUGGCGAGAGACCGAUAGCGAACAAGUACCGUGAGGGAAAGAUGAAAAGAACUUUGAAAAGAGAGUUAAACAGUACGUGAAAUUGUCAAAAGGGGAGCGUUUGACACCAGUGUUGUUUUUCUGAAAAUCAAUUAAAGAACUGUUUAUGCUAAGUUGUUUAGACUUUAUCAGCUAACUGUUUAGUUUUGAGCUUUUCUUUAAUGCACUUUUCAGUUAACAAGUCAACAUCAAUUUCUUUUGCUGUAAAAAAGCUUGAGGAAGGUGGCUUGAGAUUCGUCUUAAGUGUUUAUAGCCUCUUGCCUAUGCAGUCGGAGAGAUUGAGGUCUGCAGCGUAGAUCCUUCGGAGCUAAAUGCAUUUGUGCUAAGUUAUAGCAUUUUAUAGACAACUUGUUGACUAUGAUUUGUCUUGUAGCUUACUCGCUUAUGUUAUUUUACCUACGCUUAGGAUGUUGAACGCGCACAGAGUCUC
RNAcentral lists this ribosomal RNA (774 nucleotides) under uncultured Neocallimastigales. Its description in RNAcentral is "partial large subunit ribosomal RNA". It matches the Rfam family "Eukaryotic large subunit ribosomal RNA", at positions 26 to 614 of the family's 3401-position model. Lineage: Eukaryota; Fungi; Neocallimastigomycota; Neocallimastigomycetes; Neocallimastigales. The record is from RNAcentral.